CGGGGCAUUGCACAGUGGAUUAGUGCGUCUGUUUUGGGGACAGAAGGUCGUGGGUUCGAAUCCUACUGCCCCGA
This 74-nucleotide transfer RNA is filed under the name Flavobacterium sp. Its description in RNAcentral is "tRNA-Pro". It matches the Rfam family "tRNA". Rfam says of the family: Transfer RNA (tRNA) molecules are approximately 80 nucleotides in length. Their secondary structure includes four short double-helical elements and three loops (D, anti-codon, and T loops). The record is from RNAcentral. Lineage: Bacteria; Pseudomonadati; Bacteroidota; Flavobacteriia; Flavobacteriales; Flavobacteriaceae.